Molecule: ribosomal RNA, 646 nt
Filed under: Rhodanobacter sp. T2-YC6779
Lineage: Bacteria; Pseudomonadati; Pseudomonadota; Gammaproteobacteria; Lysobacterales; Rhodanobacteraceae
Description: bacterial SSU rRNA
Rfam family: Bacterial small subunit ribosomal RNA
Source: RNAcentral
UAAUGCAUCGGGACCCUACCCAGACGUGGGGGAUAACCUCGGGAAACCGGGACUAAUACCGCAUACGUCCUACGGGAGAAAGCGGGGGACCUUCGGGCCUCGCGCGGCUGGACGGACCGAUGUGCGAUUAGCUAGUUGGUAGGGUAAUGGCCUACCAAGGCGACGAUCGCUAGCUGGUCUGAGAGGAUGAUCAGCCACACUGGGACUGAGACACGGCCCAGACUCCUACGGGAGGCAGCAGUGGGGAAUAUUGGACAAUGGGCGCAAGCCUGAUCCAGCAAUGCCGCGUGUGUGAAGAAGGCCUUCGGGUUGUAAAGCACUUUUAUCAGGAACGAAAUACCACGGGUUAAUAACCUAUGGGGCUGACGGUACCUGAGGAAUAAGCACCGGCUAACUUCGUGCCAGCAGCCGCGGUAAUACGAAGGGUGCAAGCGUUAAUCGGAAUUACUGGGCGUAAAGGGUGCGUAGGCGGUUCGUUAAGUCUGUCGUGAAAUCCCCGGGCUCAACCUGGGAAUGGCGAUGGAUACUGGCGAGCUAGAGUGUGUCAGAGGAUGGUGGAAUUCCCGGUGUAGCGGUGAAAUGCGUAGAGAUCGGGAGGAACAUCAGUGGCGAAGGCGGCCAUCUGGGACAACACUGACGCUGAAGC